This 221-nucleotide ribosomal RNA is filed under the name Citrobacter portucalensis. Its description in RNAcentral is "partial 23S ribosomal RNA". It matches the Rfam family "Bacterial large subunit ribosomal RNA", at positions 1550 to 1768 of the family's 2925-position model. The record is from RNAcentral. Lineage: Bacteria; Pseudomonadati; Pseudomonadota; Gammaproteobacteria; Enterobacterales; Enterobacteriaceae.
UUAACGCUGAGGUGUGAUGACGAGGCACUACGGUGCUGAAGUAACAAAUGCCCUGCUUCCAGGAAAAGCCUCUAAGCAUCAGGUAACACGAAAUCGUACCCCAAACCGACACAGGUGGUCAGGUAGAGAAUACCAAGGCGCUUGAGAGAACUCGGGUGAAGGAACUAGGCAAAAUGGUGCCGUAACUUCGGGAGAAGGCACGCUGAUAUGUAGGUGAAGUG